Long non-coding RNA from Rhineura floridana, 1071 nucleotides. RefSeq lists it as uncharacterized. NCBI's taxonomy places the organism in Eukaryota, Metazoa, Chordata, Lepidosauria, Squamata, Rhineuridae. The transcript has 3 exons. The record is from RefSeq and is a predicted model, not a curated record.
CAGAUAAGCACUCACAGAACAGCUGCUGCUGAAGAAGGAAAAGAGAGCCUGGGGAAAGCCUGGUGCUGGGAGUUCAUAACAAACUUUAAAGCGCAACUUUCCCCCCUUGUGUGGGGACUGAAAAAGUGGACUAAGGUAACAGUGAUUAUGGAGGCAGGCCUGUGAAAGAGCUGCGUGGCUUCUGUUUAGAACAGUCAUCCCUAUUCAAAAAGAAGACAGCAGAAGAGAGUUGUGCUGUUCCCAGCUUCCUAAAUGUAUUAAUCUGUGUACAGUGUGCUCCAUGGCUCAGAAAGUAGAUCUGGUGCCAUUUUGUAGCCAUGUAAAAUGGAUUCCAAAGCCAGCCAGUUGGAAAGUCCACAUAUCAUCAGAGCAGCAUGGAAACCUGUUCUGCGCAGCUGGAUCAUAUGACCAUCUGAUAUAACGGCAAUGGAGGGACAUAACCAAAUCAACACUGGGAGAGUACAUUCUUCAAUCCAAGCAAAAUUUGUGGAAGUGACUACACACUCAUGAAGAGCCAUGCAUGUUCUUAUGGUGACUGACUUGUGGAGUGAGGUAGCCCUAUGGAAGACUUUGAGUGACAUCUUGGAAAGGUCUGCAUGGACAGCAAUUCUCCCAAAGUUAGCAGUGAUGCCCUCUAGAAUAACACUCCUAGAGGAAGCCUACAAGUGCUAACAUUUUGGCCAAGUCACUCUAUGGACCAUUCAGAAACUCCAGCAGAAAGCCCUUCUAUUUUCUGAGGAUUUUCAUGACAAAUCAUCAUGGAACCAGAGGAAUUAUAUACAGUGGAAGAGUUCCAUCUUUAUGUCCCUCUUUAAUAAAAAAAAACACCAAGACCAAUACAAGAUAUUUUGCUGCCUGGGGCCAAGGACAAGAUAACCCCUUCCCAUUUCAAGUAUAGACUCCAUUUGGAUUGACAGAUGAAUCUUAGUUCAAUAUUAGCGAAGUAACGGCAUUUUCCACUACACCUGGGGCAGAAGGCUAAGUCAGUGGGUGCAAGGAAGGCUAGCGCAGGAGUCUCAAAGAAAGGAGAAUUGUAGAGUUGGAAGAGACCUCCAAGAUUAUCUAGUUGAA